This 252-nucleotide ribosomal RNA is filed under the name uncultured bacterium. RNAcentral's name for it is "partial 16S ribosomal RNA". It matches the Rfam family "Bacterial small subunit ribosomal RNA", at positions 524 to 776 of the family's 1533-position model. The record is from RNAcentral.
UACGUAGGGGGCUAGCGUUAUCCGGAAUUACUGGGCGUAAAGGGUGCGUAGGUGGUUUCUUAAGUCAGAGGUGAAAGGCUACGGCUCAACCGUAGUAAGCCUUUGAAACUGGGAAACUUGAGUGCAGGAGAGGAGAGUGGAAUUCCUAGUGUAGCGGUGAAAUGCGUAGAUAUUAGGAGGAACACCAGUUGCGAAGGCGGCUCUCUGGACUGUAACUGACACUGAGGCACGAAAGCGUGGGGAGCAAGCAGG